Ribosomal RNA from Papaver somniferum (opium poppy), 123 nucleotides. NCBI's taxonomy places the organism in Eukaryota, Viridiplantae, Streptophyta, Magnoliopsida, Ranunculales, Papaveraceae. The record is from RefSeq and is a predicted model, not a curated record.
GCAAUCGAUCAUACCAGCACUAAUGCACCAGAACCCAUCAGAACUCUGCAGUUAAGCGUGCUUGGGCUUAGAGUAGUAGUACUAAGAUGGGUGACCUCUUGGGAAGUCCUCGUGUUGAUUGCC